This 378-nucleotide unclassified non-coding RNA is filed under the name uncultured Prochlorococcus sp. RNAcentral's name for it is "partial 16S-23S ribosomal RNA intergenic spacer". The record is from RNAcentral. Lineage: Bacteria; Bacillati; Cyanobacteriota; Cyanophyceae; Synechococcales; Prochlorococcaceae.
UCGUUGUGUGAUGUGAUUUAGAAUUUAAGUUUGCUGGCAGACCCUAGCUUCUUAUCAUUCCAGUUCUCAAUCAAUUGAGAUGAGGUUGAUAGGACGCUGGGCUCACUGUAAUUCGCAAGAAUUGCAGAGAUGUUCAGCAGAACCUUGACAACUGCAUAGGUAAGUCUGGAAAGAAUAAAGCAUCUCAUGGAUGCAUGAUUCUUGGGAAUCAGCUGAUGCAAUCUGCGCGAGCAGAGAGCUGAGGUUGAUCAACGAGAAUGAUGUUUGAUUCUUGAGUCAAGAGCCGAGACUCUAUAGCGUUCUUUCGAUGUCAUCGAGUCAUUGAGAGUUUGAUUGGUGAUUCAAACCAUCUUUAAUGACAAACAAUUCAGUUUAACU